RNAcentral lists this ribosomal RNA (702 nucleotides) under Triticum aestivum (bread wheat). Its description in RNAcentral is "partial small subunit ribosomal RNA". Lineage: Eukaryota; Viridiplantae; Streptophyta; Magnoliopsida; Poales; Poaceae. The record is from RNAcentral.
AUGGCGAGGUUAAAGCCGAAACAGUUGCUAAUUCAAAGCAAGACGAAGAAGGGUCCAUCACGAAUCAGUUAUUCUAGCAUCAUCACCUGGAAACUGAUCGUCGUCUUGGUUGUGCUAUCUCUCUAUGCAACUUACAGGCAUUGGCAUCACAGGCCGGCCUUCGAGGCUGAAAUGGAUCUUCCUCGGGCUGAGAAUGUAGAAAGAUCUGAGGAUUCAACAAAAAUAAGUACCCCAAGCUACGUGAUAAUGGACACUUUGAAAGGCUCAAUUACCAUAGAAAUAUCCAAAGAUGCUUCUGCUGGUGUUGUGGACAGAUUUAUCAACUUAUGCAAGAGUGAUUAUUUUAAAGGAAUGCCAUUUCGUCAUGUCAUAAAAAACUCGGUAAUCCAUGGUGGUGAUUUUGAUUUGAAUGGAGCUGCCCAUGAAUGGAUACUGAAAGCCAAAGCCAGUGGAGAAAAUGCUCUCAGUCCAAAGCAUGAGGCCUUCAUGAUUGGGACUACAAGGAGUCCUAAUAGUAAAGGAUUUGAUCUAUUUAUCACGACUGCUCCAAUUCCUGACUUGAAUGACAAGAUCGUUUUGUUUGGCAGAGUUAUUAAGGGAGAAGAUAUUGUUCAGGAGAUUGAAGAAAUCGAUACUGAUGAGCAUUACCAGCCCAAAACCCCUAUAGGUAUCAUUAACAUCAGCCUUAUACAGGAGCUUUGA